ACAAACUUGGCACUGCUGAGCAGGCCUAAGGCUGGAAGGAACCCAGUUCUGCAGAAUCUCAAUCUAGCACUUUCCUUUCUAGAGUUUGUUCUGCUCUGGUUCAAAUUUCCUCCCUGGUAUUUCAGGAAAACUGAAGAUAAUUUUUUUUUUCCUCUUGCGCCUGCUCAUUUGGUGUCCUGGCUCCGCCCUUUGUCUUUGGCCCAUUACUCUGGAAAGCCUUUCAAAGCAAAGAGCUGCAUUAAAAGCCUGUGGGAAAAUUCAUGAACUACCUGCUCAAGUGAAAGGAAUCAUUAACACAAGCAGCUUACCACAUCGUCUUCCGUCCAGGCACCAAUAUCAAAAGAAGGCAGCAGCUGCGCAGGAAAUAUGAAUGAAAUAAUAAUAAUAAAAAACAGUUUAGGAACAAAUAUCAGAACCCAUUGAUGAUGACUGAAAUUGGAAUCAUCCUUAGAAACUCAGGUUGCAGAGGGCUGCUCUGACUAAGAGUAAAUCAAACUAGACUUUUUCUUGGCUAAAUGCACUGCCAUGAAAGAUGACUUUAUAGAAGACUCCAACCUGCUUAGCUAGAGCCACUCAUUCUGCUAAAUGCUACAUGGGCAGCCGAGUACAGCUGCAGAAACAUGUCACUCCCUUCCCCUCAUGGAAGCAAAUAUCAAAUAAAAAACUUUUUUUGAUUAGCCCAAGAAACAACAGACUGAGUUACAGAAAUAUUUCUCUACAUCAAAGCUGGUUUUCACAUCAAGUGGGAGGAUGUGUAUGUAAUGUUUUGAUUGUGUGUGUGUUUGUAUCUCCUAAAUGUACUAAACAAAGCUGGUAAGUAAGUAUUUUUUGGAUAGAAUGAAGAUUUUUAAGUAAACAGCUAAUCAAGUUAACAUCUCUGAUGAUGUUGUCAAAAGGAGAGCAGAAGAGUUACCUUGUGCUCUAAGGACGGCUCGUGGAGAUGAGGGCAGGGAAAGGACACUAGCUCCAGCUGGUGACUCCCUCCAGUGGGAUUCUUGUGCCACACUUGCAAAGAUCAGUGGGGGCAAAAAGCUGGAGCCAGGCCUCAAGAUGGUUUGAAUUUGCCAAGACAGGGGUAAGAGUUAAUGAUCUCCAGCCACACAGAGGCUUGCCAUCUCCUUUACGCUUUCUGUACCUUGUUAACAUAUCAGUUAGGGUGAGUUCUAAGCAUUUCUGUCUCUCUUUGAGGAUAAACAUAAACCCCACCUUAUGACUGCCCCAUCACUUUAUAAAUUCAUUAUUU
Molecule: long non-coding RNA, 1243 nt
Organism: Erinaceus europaeus (western European hedgehog)
Lineage: Eukaryota; Metazoa; Chordata; Mammalia; Eulipotyphla; Erinaceidae
Exons: 4
Source: RefSeq, a predicted model, not a curated record